UUGACAGAUGCUCAGCGGCGCAUGUAAAGAUCUCCGUCCAUUAUUAUUUGUCCCACAGCUGAGAUGAAAGGCUCGCCUGAGGCAAGGAACGCCAAGACCCUUUCAAAAACUGAAGGCUUCACAGAAAAAAAUCAGCAAGAACAUUGUACUCUAAUUGUUUGCCUAAAAUGAAUAGGUCUAGAAACGACUAACAUCAGUUUUCCAUGAUGCAUCAUCUUGUUCAGAAGUUUACAUCCCUUUUUGUUGUCUUUUGGCGAGUAUACACCACUCGGAGCGGUUGUUUGUAGCUGCCGUCCAGGCGUUGGUCUUGCCCUGUUUGUCCAGACGGGCGUAAUGCGGGUGCCAGGUGAAGGCCUCAAUGCCCCAGGUGCGGAAAGCGCUGGACGAUGUCAUCUGCCGGUCACUGAUGAGCCGAGACUUGACGCCGAGCGGCUCGGAGCAACCUGUCGUGUUCAAAUACACUGUGAAGUGAGACAGCGGACAAAGGGAAGUGGCAGAGAGAUGGAUGGGAAGCGUCAGCACAAGCAGCACAAACCAAAGCAGUCAUGCAGUUGAGAGUGUGUGAAGCGCAUGCAGGCGACAGUCGGCGCUGUGUGUGUAUGUGAAGCUGCUCAGAGACACAUGGAGGAGUGAAGUGGGCAAUGCUGUGAAUGAGACAUUGACAUGCGCAACAUUAUAUUAGCUGAAAAUUAGAGUUUCACACAGAUGAUUAAGCAUAAUAUAUCGGUCAUUUUUAAUUGAUCAAUUUCAUACUUAUUUAAUGUUAGUUUUAAUAAGAAUUUAUUAAUACAGGAAAAUCUUUCAUGCAUUAGAUAGAAUUUUUA
This 824-nucleotide long non-coding RNA is filed under the name Danio rerio (zebrafish). Its description in RNAcentral is "si:dkeyp-19h3.9 (ENSDARG00000096875.2)". The record is from RNAcentral. Lineage: Eukaryota; Metazoa; Chordata; Actinopteri; Cypriniformes; Danionidae.